GAAAAUAAUUUUAAAAUAUAAAAUAUUCUUUAAAAUAUUUUUUAAUUAAAGGCUUUCAUAGAUUGGACCAAUGUGGAUAACAUAUAAAAAAAUCAAUAUGAAAGGAAGUGUCUUCAUUGGGUUAAUUUGAAAUUUACAAUGACUUUGGGCUAAGCUUGGGUGGAACCCAAAUGCACCCAGAUUGCAGCCAUUAUUUUCCAAAUUUUGCUAGCAUUUGCGCAUCACUAGUGCCACCAUGCUUUACUUCCUUUUUCCCAAGAUGUCACUAUUAGUAUUUUAAUAUUAUUUCAAUGUUUUUUUAAAAGAUUAAUAGCUGAUUGCGUAGACCUGUAGAUUAGCCCCUUCUUAACAACUUAGCUGAAAAUCGACUUAAAAUAACUAUUUGCUUGGGUUAUUUUCACAUAUAUACGAUCUUUUAUUGUAGGCUUUGGUGAUCAACACAUACCUCUAAUCAUUUGUUUCUUGAUCCCGUGUUCAUGCUCUAAACUUAAUUUACAAAGUUUUUUCGUAGUUUUUAGAUUAAGUUUGAAUAAAAGUUCAUAUUGAAGGAAAAAAAAGGAUAAGAAAGAAUGUUAUCUAGCUACAAUGUACAUCUAUCUCAAAAUUUAAUUUCAGUUGGCAGGUCGGAUGGAGAUGCUAUGAUAGUUAUUUUGGCAAAUGGUAUUGGAAGCAUACCAAGGGCCCUGAUGGUGGCAAGAGAGAAAUGGUAUUACUGUGUAUAGGGCACAACUGGAGUUGCUCAACGGCUGAAUGAGCACUAGCAGAAAGAAAUCGUCAUCAUGUUUGCAACAUUAACAAGGCAAUCAUUUAUUGAUUUGGGGAUAGUACAAGAUGUCUUUUAUUGAGAAAAAAGGAAUCCAUCAAGUGUGUUGAGAAGGAUCCUAUCAAAGGACAAGCAUGGGUAAUGUCAGAGCUUGUUAGGGGUGGGUUUGAUGUGAGCAUGUGCCAUUGGGUAGGAGAAUUGCUAAGCAAGGGAGACCCCUUCUUAUGCCAACCAAAACCCCUGCCUCUCCUUUCAUGGUAUGGGUAAGACAAGGUGGUAGUGGCAAGGGUAAUCAAAAAAAAAAAAAGCCCUAAGAAACUACUGUAUGGUGUGACCAAACACAAAUAAAGAGAGAGGGAUAGUGGGGAAAAGAUAAGAGGUAAAGAGAGAAGUGAGAUAGAAAUACCAUUUCUUUAGGUGUCCUUGCUUGACUUAUGAUCGACAUGGGAGCAAUGUGGUUGUAGUAUUUGCAUGCAACUUCGCAAUGUCUUGUAUAGAUUUUGUACAAUAUCCUUUUGGUGUGUUUUCUUGUCUUCCUCCUUGAUGAUCUUGUAUUUGGGUGAUCCAUGUACGAAUUAUAUAAAUGAGUUGUGAUCCUCGGGUCAUGAUUAAUUGGUUUAAGAGGUGAAGUUGUAACAUCCUAGUUCCUAGUGGAUUGCUUCCUCGCUUCUUUGUUCUUUUUCCCUAAUAGAGGUUUUUUCAUAUAAAUUUUGUGAGCCCCUUUUGUUGUCGUUUACUCUCUCUAUGAUUCGGUAAUCUCAUAGAUCACACGGAAGAGAAGAUUUCACUUUCCACUACAAUCAGUAUAUUUAUUAAGGAUUUAAACACUGGUGGGAUAAUAGUGCAUCUCACAAUCUCAAGUGUCAGGAUGAGGCAUUGUUGUGAGUGUUGGGAAGGGAUGAGUCAGGAAAUGGAUCAGGACAUGACCGAACAUCGACCUUCUCAAGUGUCGAUAAGUUGGGCAUCCCAUUCCAUGGCCCCAUCCCACAAUAUAUAAAAUCUUGUUAUUGGUGCUAGCAUAAUGGGUCUUUCUAUAUUUUUUGUUGCUUCUG
This 1815-nucleotide long non-coding RNA is filed under the name Phoenix dactylifera (date palm). RNAcentral describes it as "long non-coding RNA (PDAC_LNC006959)". The record is from RNAcentral. Lineage: Eukaryota; Viridiplantae; Streptophyta; Magnoliopsida; Arecales; Arecaceae.